AUUGAACGCUGGCGGCAGGCCUAACACAUGCAAGCCGAGCGGAUGAAGGGAGCUUGCUCCUGGAUUCAGCGGCGGACGGGUGAGUAAUGCCUAGGAAUCUGCCUGGUAGUGGGGGAUAACGUCCGGAAACGGGCGCUAGUACCGCAUACGUCCUGAGGGAGAAAGUGGGGGAUCUUCGGACCUCACGCUAUCAGAUGAGCCUAGGUCGGAUUAGCUAGUUGGUGGGGUAAAGGCCUACCAAGGCGACGAUCCGUAACUGGUCUGAGAGGAUGAUCAGUCACACUGGAACUGAGACACGGUCCAGACUCCUACGGGAGGCAGCAGUGGGGAAUAUUGGACAAUGGGCGAAAGCCUGAUCCAGCCAUGCCGCGUGUGUGAAGAAGGUCUUCGGAUUGUAAAGCACUUUAAGUUGGGAGGAAGGGCAGUAAGUUAAUACCUUGCUGUUUUGACGUUACCAACAGAAUAAGCACCGGCUAACUUCGUG
Molecule: ribosomal RNA, 484 nt
Filed under: uncultured bacterium
Lineage: Bacteria
Description: partial 16S ribosomal RNA
Rfam family: Bacterial small subunit ribosomal RNA
Source: RNAcentral